Molecule: ribosomal RNA, 399 nt
Filed under: Leiurus quinquestriatus (Egyptian scorpion)
Lineage: Eukaryota; Metazoa; Arthropoda; Arachnida; Scorpiones; Buthidae
Description: partial large subunit ribosomal RNA
Source: RNAcentral
UCGUGCAAAGGUAGCAUAAUCAUUAGUCUUUUAAUUGAAGACUGGAAUGAAAGAGUAAACCGGGAGAAUUUUUUUUAAAUUAAGAAAAUGAAUUUUACUUUUUAGUAAGAAGGCUAAAAUUUUUCUUUUAGACAAGAAGACCCUAUAAAACUUUAUAUUUUUCUCUCUUUUUGAGCUUAAAAGUAUUUCACUGGGGCGGUGAGGAAAAGAGCUUUCCUAAAUUUUUAAAACUGUCAAGUUAAAAUACCUAAAAAUUUUAAAGUUGAAAUAAGUUACUUUAGGGAUAACAGCUUAAUUUACUUUUAAAGAUCAAAUUGACAAGUAAGUUUAUGACCUCGAUGUUGAAUUAAAAUACCUUUCUUGUGCAAAAGUUUGAGAAGGAGGUCUUUUCAAAAUAAU